AUUGAACGCUGGCGGCAUGCCUAACACAUGCAAGUCGAACGCGAAAGUCCUUCGGGCGGAGUAGAGUGGCGGACGGGUGAGUAAUGCGUGGGAAUCUACCUCGUAGUGGGGGACAACCCGGGGAAACUCGGCUAAUACCGCAUACGUUCUAUGGAAGAAAGGGGGCCUCUGCUUGCAAGCUCUCGCUAUGGGAUGAGCCCACGUCCGAUUAGCUAGUUGGUGGGGUAAAGGCCUACCAAGGCGACGAUCGGUAGCUGGUCUGAGAGGAUGACCAGCCACACUGGGACUGAGACACGGCCCAGACUCCUACGGGAGGCAGCAGUGGGGAAUAUUGGACAAUGGGCGCAAGCCUGAUCCAGCAAUGCCGCGUGUGUGAAGAAGGCCUGCGGGUUGUAAAGCACUUUCAGCAGGAACGAAACGGUGGCCACUAAUACUGGCUACUAAUGACGGUACCCUGAAGAAGAAGCACCGGCUAACUACGUGCCAGCAGCCGCGGUAAU
Molecule: ribosomal RNA, 500 nt
Filed under: uncultured bacterium
Lineage: Bacteria
Description: bacterial SSU rRNA
Rfam family: Bacterial small subunit ribosomal RNA
Source: RNAcentral